RNAcentral lists this ribosomal RNA (501 nucleotides) under uncultured bacterium. RNAcentral describes it as "partial 16S ribosomal RNA". It matches the Rfam family "Bacterial small subunit ribosomal RNA", at positions 29 to 523 of the family's 1533-position model. The record is from RNAcentral.
AUUGAACGCUGGCGGCAUGCCUUACACAUGCAAGUCGAACGGCAGCACGGGUGCUUGCACCUGGUGGCGAGUGGCGAACGGGUGAGUAAUACAUCGGAACGUACCUUAUCGUGGGGGAUAACGCAGCGAAAGCUGUGCUAAUACCGCAUACGCCCUGAGGGGGAAAGCGGGGGAUCGCAAGACCUCGCGCGAUUAGAGCGGCCGAUGCCUGAUUAGCUUGUUGGUGGGGUAAAAGCCCACCAAGGCGACGAUCAGUAGCUGGUCUGAGAGGACGAUCAGCCACACGGGGACUGAGACACGGCCCAGACUCCUACGGGAGGCAGCAGUGGGGAAUUUUGGACAAUGGGGGCAACCCUGAUCCAGCAAUGCCGCGUGAGUGAAGAAGGCCUUCGGGUUGUAAAGCUCUUUUGUCAGGGAAGAAACACCGGCUCUAACACAGUCCGGGAAUGACGGUACCUGAAGAAGAAGCCCCGGCUAACUUCGUGCCAGCAGCCGCAGUAA